GACGUAGGGCGCAAGCGUUGUCCGGAUUUAUUGGGCGUAAAGAGCUCGUAGGCGGCUUGUUGUGUCGUCCGUGAAAACCUGUGGCUCAACUACAGGCUUGCGGUCGAUACGGGCGGGCUGGAGUUCGGUAGGGGAGACUGGAAUUCCUGGUGUAGCGGUGAAAUGCGCAGAUAUCAGGAGGAACACCGGUGGCGAAGGCGGGUCUCUGGGCCGAUACUGACGCUGAGGAGCGAAGGCCAGGGGAGCAAACGGG
This 253-nucleotide ribosomal RNA is filed under the name uncultured bacterium. RNAcentral's name for it is "partial 16S ribosomal RNA". It matches the Rfam family "Bacterial small subunit ribosomal RNA", at positions 524 to 776 of the family's 1533-position model. The record is from RNAcentral.